GUAGGGUGCAAGCGUUAUCCGGGAAUCAUUGGGCGUAAAGAGCUCGUAGGCGGUUCAGCAAGUCGGCUGUGAAAUCCCGAGGGCUUAACCUCGGAACUGCAGUCGAUACUGCUGUGACUAGAGUCCGGUAGAGGAGAAUGGAAUUCCCGGUGUAGCGGUGAAAUGCGCAGAUAUCGGGAGGAACACCAGUAGCGAAGGCGGUUCUCUGGGCCGGUACUGACGCUGAGGAGCGAAAGCGUGGGUAGCAAACAGGAUCAGAUACCCUGGUAGUCCACGCCGUAAACGUUGGACACUAGGUGUGGCGUUCCGACCAACGGGUGCCGUGCCGAAGCUAACGCAUUAAGUGUCCCGCCUGGGGAGUACGGCCGCAAGGCUA
This 376-nucleotide ribosomal RNA is filed under the name uncultured organism. RNAcentral's name for it is "partial 16S ribosomal RNA". It matches the Rfam family "Bacterial small subunit ribosomal RNA", at positions 527 to 896 of the family's 1533-position model. The record is from RNAcentral.